CAUUUAACAAGUGCCAACAGAUUACAUGGAAGCUGAAUGUUGAGUGUUAAGUAUUAGAUAGUGGCGGACGGGUGAGUAACGCGUGGGUAACCUACCCAUAAAGCCGGGACAACCCUUGGAAACGAGGGCUAAUACCGGAUAAUCUUGAGACGUGGCAUCGCGUUUCAAGGAAAGAUGGCCUCUGAACAUGCUAUCGAUUAUGGAUGGACCCGCGUCUGAUUAGCUAGUUGGUGGGGUAAAGGCCCACCAAGGCGACGAUCUGUAGCUGGUCUGAGAGGACGACCAGCCACACUGGAACUGAGACACGGCCCAGACUCCUACGGGAGGCAGUAGUGGGGAAUCUUCCGCAAUGGACGAAAGUCUGACGGAGCAACGCCGCGUGUAUGAUGAAGGUCUUCGGAUUGUAAAGUACUGUCUUUGGGGAAGAAUGACUGGUUUGAAAAUAUUGAGCCAGUAUGACG
RNAcentral lists this ribosomal RNA (461 nucleotides) under uncultured bacterium. RNAcentral's name for it is "bacterial SSU rRNA". It matches the Rfam family "Bacterial small subunit ribosomal RNA", at positions 35 to 474 of the family's 1533-position model. The record is from RNAcentral.